Sesamum indicum (sesame) is the source of this 4242-nucleotide non-coding RNA. NCBI's taxonomy places the organism in Eukaryota, Viridiplantae, Streptophyta, Magnoliopsida, Lamiales, Pedaliaceae. The record is from RefSeq and is a predicted model, not a curated record.
UCACUGAUCAAGAAACUGACUGCCUGUUCUCAGUCAGAUGGAAUUGGGAAGAGGAGCUCAUUCACCUGGAAAGUAGAGAAUUUCUUGUCCUUCAAGGAAAUAAUGGAAACUAGAAAAAUUUUUAGCAAAUUCUUUCAAGCUGGUGGAUGUGAGCUUCGGAUUGCUAGGAGUAUAUGAGUCUUUUGACACCAUAUGUAUAUAUUUGGAGAGUGAUCAGUCAGUUGGCAGUGAUCCCGAGAAGAACUUUUGGGUCAGAUAUAGGAUGGCUAUUGUGAACCAAAAGAAUCCAUCUAAAACUGUUUGGAAAGAGUCUUCCAUUUGCACAAAGACCUGGAACAAUUCUAUUAUUCAGUUUAUGAAGGUAUCUGACAUGUUGGAAGCUGAUACAUGAUUUUUGCUGCGAGACACAGUUGUAUUUGUUUGUGAGAUCUUGGACUGUUGUCCAUGGUUCGAGUUUUCAGACUUCGAGGUUUUAGCUUCUGAAGAUGAUCAAGACGUCCUGACAACUAACCCUGACGAACUUAUUGAUUCUGAUGACAGUGAAGAUCUAAGUGGAGAUGAAGAAGACAUCUUCAGAAAUCUUCUAUCCAGGGCCGGGUUUCACCUUACUUGUGAAGACAAUUCUUCUUGGCAUACUUUUGUUAUUUAUUUGACAAUCAUACAAACUAACUUUUUGCACUGGUUUACAGGAACAUAUAGUAAAAACUAGUUGCGGUUCUGUCUCUGUUGCUGUUUUCGGUGAUCAGGACAAACGAGCUCUGAUUACUUGUCCUGAUUUGGCUUUAAACUAUAAGGGAACUAGACCUGAAUUUUCACCAAGUAUAUCGUCAAUUUUAAUCAAACUUCUUCUGUUUUAUACCUGUGAGGAUUUCGUGGACACUUGUUAGUCUGCUAUCAGCCUUUUUGCACGUUAUCCCAACUUCACCAAAACUUUAUUAUAUCAUCUUUUCACUAACCCAUUUAAAAGCUCCCUUUUUUUUUUUUAAAUUUUGUAUUGAACAUAUCUUCAUCAGAAAUAAUUUUCUAGUCUACCUUAAACGAUGCAAGAUGAUCGCGGCUCAUACUAGUCUUGGAAUUAUUCUGUUAAAAUGUAUUUGUCUCUCUUGAAGCAGUAUCUACUUACUUAAUCAAUUUUUUUAGCAAUGGCAAUGCAGAUAAGGUAGGCUGGUGGAACUCAUGGCUCUUUCCUCGCAUGUGCACCCCUUGAUAGCGGCAGCCACAGCUCUACAUGGCUGUCAUUUUUUUAUUAUUGUUUGAGAGAUUCGGUCUAUGUGCCAAAGCAUGUGUGUUGGGUCAAAACCUCAAAUAUGAUUCUUCAUUUGAUUCGAGCAUUGAGCGAAAGAAAGUGAGAGUAUCAUGCAGCUGUUGCUGGCCAACCCAUGUUCCACUUUCUGAGACUGCUGAGACGGUAGCAUCCCUGUAAUCCAUGUGACCAUGGCAGUAGUAGCAAGACAUUCCUAUAGUGGAGGACAAGAUAAGGUAGUACAUAUGGUGGAGGACAAGAUAAGGAUCCAGAUGCUUCGAUCCGUAAAAGGGCCCUCGAGCUUGUUUAUCUUCUAGUAAAUGAAAGCAAUGUGAAGCCUUUGACAAAGGAGCUUGUUGAUUAUCUAGAAGUAAGUGAACCGGAAUUUAAGGGAGACCUCACGGCCAAAAUUUGCUCAAUUGUGGAGAAGUUUUCUCCUGAAAGAAUAUGGUACAUUGAUCAGAUGGUGAAGGUUCUAACACAGGCUGGGAAUUAUGUGAAGGAUGAAGUCUGGCAUGCCCUUAUCAUUGUAAUUACUAAUGCUCCUAACCUCCAUGGAUAUACUGUUAAAGCACUUAACAAGGCUGUACAAACAGCAGGCGGACAGGAAACUCUUGUUCGAGUUGCUGUAUGGUGCAUUGGAGAAUAUGGCGAGAUGUUGGUUGGUAAUUCUGGCAUGCUUGAUGUGGAGGAAAGGAUAUGUUCACGCUUUUUGAAAGUUUUCUUAAUUUUCUUUUAUAAUCAGAAUUCCAGACUUUUGUAUUAAUUGGGCGUGCCGAAUGUUAAAGUUGUCCACAAAUUUGUGGUGGAUGUAGGUAAUCUUGUCCAUUAGACACCAAGAACUAAUAACUAUUCGACAAUCAUGAUACUACGUGUUAAGCGUUCAGUAACGUUAAAAAAUUGGGAAGGUGCUUUGCUGAAAAAUGGAAGGUUCUGGCUUUGUCCGAUCAGGGUCAACUAACUCUCCUUGACAAUUCGGAAGUCUUUACUCCGUCAAGGAAAAGAUGCUUAUCUCAAUUGGAAAAGUUAAAGGCUGGCACUUCUCUCAAUUUUAUUCUUUUAUGUGAGCAAUAACCGAAGUGUUUCAAGGUUUGGUAAGAAAGAAACAUGGUCCUUCACAUAUGCCAAUAUCGGCAGAUCAAAUUCGGUCUAUGUGCCAACGCAUGUGUGCUGGGUCAAAACCUCGAAUAUGAUUCUUCAUUUGAUUCGAGCACUGAGCGAAAGAAAGUGAGAGUAUCAUGCAGUUGUGGCUGGAGCCCAUGUUCCACUUUCUGGGAGUGCUGGGAGUGUAGCGUCCCUGUGAUCCAUGUGAUCAUGCCAGCAGUGGCAAACAUUCCUAUGGUGGAGGACAAGAUAAGGAUCCAGAUGCUUCGAUCCGUAAAAGGGCCCUCAAGCUUGUUUAUCUUCUAGUAAAUGAAAGCAAUGUGAAGCCUUUGACAAAGGAGCUUGUUGAUUAUCUAGAAGUAAGUGAACCGGAAUUUAAGGGAGACCUCACGGUCAAAAUUUGCUCAAUUGUGGAGAAGUAAGUUGAAUGAUCUAUAGUUUAUCUAUAAGGUUUGCUCGCUUUCUUGUCCAAUUAGUUUUAUAAUAUGAUGUUUGAUGCAUGCUAUGUUCAUGACUUCAUGUGAAUGUGUGUCCAUGUGUCUUGAAGCAGCUCAUAACUAUGGAGUACUUUACAAAAUAUCUGCUUGAUUUGGUCUCUGGAUAAGUUGUUUUCUCCAACUUUCAAGGUUUAAGAAAGUAUGGUUAUUGAUUGAUUUUGCUUUGUCUUAUAGGUCAGAUAUUUGCUUUGUUCUGAAACAAUUGUUUAAGGACAUUUAAAAGGUCUUUCUUCUUUUUCCCUACUAGUGGUCCCUCUAGCUCCUUUACUGAAAAUGUAUUGCAUGUCAAAACCUUAUUUUUGCUCUCAUUAUUGUCUUUCACCGCCACAUAUUUCUCAGUUACCUCAAUUCUAUCCCUUCACAUAUUUUUUCUCUUCUUUUCCAUGUUGUGUUGUGGCCUGUGAUCACCCAAGUAGUAAAACAUGCAUGACCUGCUAUAUUAAUUGGUUGUAGUUUAUUGUAGUUAUACAUAAUCUCAUUCAUGUUGAUGUGUGGUGCCAGGUUUGUUGUUUGUGGCUUUAUGUUAGUACGGAGAUAACAUGUCUGUUGUAUGCCUCUUUAUUUGUGUUGCUAAUAAUUAUUUCACUAAUGGAUCAAGAGAAGCUUUUGGGUAUCAAAUAUUACUUUUUCUUUUUUGUCAAUCUGGAAGUCGCCUUACAAGCAUUAUUUUCAUCCCAAACACUGGGGUGGAGUUAAGCUUAACUGCUUAAAUUCGCUUCUCUAUUGAAAGAGAUACUGUAUGAGAUUAAAGCAAAAUGAUGAAAAUGUUAAUGUUCCUCUUUAUCAGCAAAGCUGGGAUUAAUGUGCUUGGCUGAUUGUAUAGAUGUUAAAAACUUAUCUAGCAUUGAUUGUGUUGUUUCUUAGGGGUGUACGUUAAGAGUCCUCCGACGUGGAGAUAUCCCAAGGGCUCUGCCAUUUGGGCAGUCUUAGCAGGCACCUUGCAAAACAUAUUUCUAUAUCUCAUAAUUGGAUUGACAUCUUGAAAAAAGUGACUCUCCUUGUUUCUUAUAAUUGGAAUGACAUUCAGGAAAAAGUGACUUGCCUUGCCUUGCCUUCUGUAACUCAUUCUAAAAGAUGCCUUGUUAAUUAAAACUCAUGUAAACUGGGAAUUAAUCUGUUCUUGUGGUAUUCACUAUGCUCUUGCGAGCUUGGACUGAGCUUUAAGCUUCUCAAUUUUACCACCUUGUAAAGACAGCCUUGUAGCCAUGUAAUAACACUUCGCAGGGAAUGAAAACAGUUGCUAAACUGAGGAUGGUAACCUUCCAGUGAUGGUUAAACACGGAUUCACUUUGUAUGCCUAUUGCCAAGAAGCCAAUGAAUUCAUUCCAUUGGUUACAGUACUGAGUUGUUUUAAAUUUAUGAGAUGAGCUUCUGAUUGAUAAUUUUGAUGAAUAAUAA